GGUUAAGUGACUAAGCGUACAUGGUGGAUGCCUUGGCAGUCAGAGGCGAUGAAGGACGUACUAACCUGCGAUAAGCCGUGAGCAGUCGGUAAGAGACAUUACGACUCACGGAUUUCCGAAUGGGGAAACCCACUUAGCAUAAGCUAGGUAUCGCUGCGUGAAUACAUAGCGUAGCGAGGCGAACCGGGAGAACUGAAACAUCUAAGUACCCCGAGGAAAAGAAAUCAACCGAGAUUCCCUCAGUAGCGGCGAGCGAACGGGGAUUAGCCCUUAAGCAUCUUGGAAGUUAGUGGAACGGUCCUGGAAAGGCCGGCGAUACAGGGUGAUAGCCCCGUACACGAAAACAACCUUGAUGUGAAAUCGAGUAGGGCGGGACACGUGACAUCCUGUCUGAAUAUGGGGGGACCAUCCUCCAAGGCUAAAUACUCCUGACUGACCGAUAGUGAACCAGUACCGUGAGGGAAAGGCGAAAAGAACCCCUGUGAGGGGAGUGAAAUAGAACCUGAAACCGUGUACGUACAAGCAGUGGGAGCCCUUCGGGGUGACUGCGUACCUUUUGUAUAAUGGGUCAGCGACUUACAUUUUGUAGCGAGGUUAACCGUAUAGGGGAGCCGUAGGGAAACCGAGUCUUAACUGGGCGUCUAGUUGCAAGGUGUAGACCCGAAACCGGGUGAUCUAGCCAUGGGCAGGUUGAAGGUUGAGUAACAUCAACUGGAGGACCGAACCCACUAACGUUGCAAAGUUAGGGGAUGACCUGUGGCUGGGGGUGAAAGGCCAAUCAAACUCGGAGAUAGCUGGUUCUCCCCGAAAGCUAUUUAGGUAGCGCCUCGGACGAAUACUACUGGGGGUAGAGCACUGUUUGGGCUAGGGGGUCAUCCCGACUUACCAACCCCAUGCAAACUCCGAAUACCAGUAAGUAAUAUCCGGGAGACACACGGCGGGUGCUAACGUCCGUCGUGAAGAGGGAAACAACCCAGACCGCCGGCUAAGGUCCCAAAGUUCUGGUUAAGUGGGAAACGAUGUGGGAAGGCUCAGACAGCUAGGAUGUUGGCUUAGAAGCAGCCAUCAUUUAAAGAAAGCGUAAUAGCUCACUAGUCGAGUCGGCCUGCGCGGAAGAUGUAACGGGGCUCAAAC
RNAcentral lists this ribosomal RNA (1134 nucleotides) under Aeromonas hydrophila. Its description in RNAcentral is "partial 23S ribosomal RNA". It matches the Rfam family "Bacterial large subunit ribosomal RNA", at positions 1 to 1187 of the family's 2925-position model. Lineage: Bacteria; Pseudomonadati; Pseudomonadota; Gammaproteobacteria; Aeromonadales; Aeromonadaceae. The record is from RNAcentral.